RNAcentral lists this long non-coding RNA (293 nucleotides) under Malus domestica (apple). Its description in RNAcentral is "long non-coding RNA (MDOM_LNC001410)". The record is from RNAcentral. Lineage: Eukaryota; Viridiplantae; Streptophyta; Magnoliopsida; Rosales; Rosaceae.
GGUCUGGCUCUCGAGAUUCGGGGAGCAGUGUCUCUUCGAUUUUUGAGAAAGUAAUCAUGUUGGGAGUCUGGCUCUCGAGAUUCGGAGGGCGGUGCCUCUUCGAUUUUGGAGCAAGCAAUCUUGUUGGGAGUGUUUUCUCGAAUGUGAGUAAAGGUUGGGCAUGUUUGCUAGUCUACCUUACCACGAAGCACAGAGGUUGACACACAGGGACUUUCCAAUUAUCCAGCAAUGGUACUGUUCCUUUACCCUCUCUUCGAUUUUUAAGAAAGUAGUCAUGUUGGGAGUCUGGCUCU